CAUGAUCAACAAACACAUGCAAGUCUUUCCGAAGAAUCAAGGGAGUCUGUCUACAUUGGCUUGUCCACUGAUUCAGAGGUUGAAAUUAUGGUGGCAUCACCUGUAAGAAGCUACAGUCCUGAUGUAUGUUUAACCAACCCUUUUAAGAACUUUCCCCAUGUAUGUAAAGUAUCAUGUCCUUUAUUAAUUUUAACCUUCCUUUUCACAGCAACAAAAAGACCUUGCAUCAGUUUUGACAGAAUUCAGACAAGACAAUUUAGACUUGACCACCACUGUCACCGUUGUGGCUCGCCGAAGGAAAAUAUUACAUAGUGCAUGUGUUGCACUUGAUAAAUCUUACUUUGACUGGCAUAAAAUGCCAAAUGUGGAAUUUGUUGGGAAGAUGGCAGACCACGACGAGAGUUUUUCAGGUUAAAAAUAAUUGACAUUCAUUUGUCAUUUUUUUUAUUACUCUGAAUGACUACACAUUUUAAGUUUUGAUGACAUGAUUGUUCUAACAAUUUUAAUAAUGUGUUAUUACAUGUAUACAAACACACUUACCUUGAGUAUUAAUUCAUGGAAUCAUCUAGAUACUGCCCAAAAAAUUAUUUAAAAAUUACCUGUGUUUUAAAAAGUAAUCUUGAUUAUCUCUCUUUUUUUUAAGACUUCUCAUGACAGAAGUGCAGGAAUCACUUGGUAUAUUUGAGGGAAGACCUGAGAAUCUGAUCUUUGCAUAUAAUCAACAAGCACUGUUGCAGAAUAAAUACUACACUGCUGGAAAACUCAUUGCAUGGUCCAUUGUGCACAAUGGACCUGGGAUCAGAUGUCUUAACCAGCAUCCUUUCAAACUAAUGUGUGACCAGAAAGCAGAUCUAAGCACAUUUAACACUGAAACAUUCCAAGAUGCAGAUUUGCAACACAGACUGAAAAAGGGUGGCCAGCAUGAUACAGCAGUUUGUUGCUGGGAUGGAUGCAUUUGGACAGCUGUGGCAAACAGUACAGAGGAACUGUAUUAACUUUAUGCCAAUGUUCACAUACACACAUGAAAAACUCUCCCGAAGUGAUAUUCGGGACAUGUUCAACAUCAGAUGGAGUCCACAAGGCUGCAAUAAUAGAGAGAGGGAGGAGGACACCAUCUUUCUCUGGGAGUGUUGGCUGAUGUCUAUUGAAAAUAAAGAGCUAGACAUUACCUUUGAAGAAAUUCUGAUCUUCGCAACGGGAGCUGAUUCUGUACUCCCUCUCGGUUUUCCACGAGAGUGUGAGAUCCAGUUCUAUGAUCAAGAGCCAGGAAGCCAGCAGAUUCCUUACUCCUCAACCUGUGCCCUUGUUCUGUAUUUGCCCAGAGGAAAAUAUGUGAAGAAUGGGCUAUGUGAAGAAAUCGAGAACCUUUUAUUUCUACCAGCCAGUGAUGAUUCUGAAAGAACAUACCUGGAAUCUGUUGCUACAGUAACGAACGCAAAUUCAUGCUCAUGCGUGAUUUUAUUUCAGUGCAGUUGUUAA
Molecule: long non-coding RNA, 1479 nt
Organism: Cyprinus carpio carpio
Lineage: Eukaryota; Metazoa; Chordata; Actinopteri; Cypriniformes; Cyprinidae
Source: Ensembl